UUUUUGCCUAUUUCUCAAAAGCGGAGGAAAAGAAACCAACUGGGAUUACCUUAGUAACGGCGAGUGAAGCGGUAAAAGCUCAAAUUUGAAAUCUGGUACUUUCAGUGCCCGAGUUGUAAUUUGUAGAAUUUGUCUUUGAUUAGGUCCUUGUCUAUGUUCCUUGGAACAGGACGUCAUAGAGGGUGAGAAUCCCGUUUGGCGAGGAUACCUUUUCUCUGUAAGACUUUUUCGAAGAGUCGAGUUGUUUGGGAAUGCAGCUCAAAGUGGGUGGUAAAUUCCAUCUAAAGCUAAAUAUUGGCGAGAGACCGAUAGCGAACAAGUACAGUGAUGGAAAGAUGAAAAGAACUUUGAAAAGAGAGUGAAAAAGUACGUGAAAUUGUUGAAAGGGAAGGGCAUUUGAUCAGACAUGGUGUUUUUUGCAUGCACUCGCCUCUCGUGGGCUUGGGCCUCUCAAAAAUUUCACUGGGCCAACAUCAAUUCUGGCAGCAGGAUAAAUCAUUAAGAAUGUAGCUACUUCGGUAGUGUUAUAGCUUUUUGGAAUACUGUUAGCCGGGAUUGAGGACUGCGCUCGGCAAGGCAAGCAUAGCGAAGG
This 592-nucleotide ribosomal RNA is filed under the name Hanseniaspora uvarum. RNAcentral describes it as "partial large subunit ribosomal RNA". It matches the Rfam family "Eukaryotic large subunit ribosomal RNA", at positions 33 to 624 of the family's 3401-position model. The record is from RNAcentral. Lineage: Eukaryota; Fungi; Ascomycota; Saccharomycetes; Saccharomycodales; Saccharomycodaceae.